Molecule: ribosomal RNA, 863 nt
Filed under: Gammarus cf. fossarum B DCC-2015
Lineage: Eukaryota; Metazoa; Arthropoda; Malacostraca; Amphipoda; Gammaridae
Description: bacterial SSU rRNA
Rfam family: Eukaryotic small subunit ribosomal RNA
Source: RNAcentral
UUGUGCUUGCUUGUCUUGCGCUCUCACUGCUCUGACGGAUGCUUUUAUUAGACCAAACCGCUGAGGACUUGAGGGUUCGCCCUCUAGUUCGACUCGUGCGAUGGUGACUCUGGAUAACCUUGACGAGCGCACGUACUCCUCUUCUGAGCGAGACGGCGCUGCCACUUUCGAGUGUCUGCCUUAUCAGCUAUCAACCGUUCGUUAUGCGCGACCGAUGGCUUUGACGGGUAACGGGGAAUCAGGGUUCGAUUCCGGAGAGGCAGCCUGAGAGACGGCUACCACGUCCAAGGACGGCAGCAGGCACGCAAAUUACCCAAUCCCAGCAAAUGGGGGAGGUAGUGACGAAAUCUAACGAUGCGGGCGCCCUUUCUGGGGCCCCGCAAUCGGAAUGGGCACUUUCUAAACAACCUGUUGAGAACCUACUGAAGGGCAAGUCUGGUGCCAGCAGCCGCGGUAAUUCCAGCUUCAGCAGCAUCUAUUAAAGUUGCUGCGGUUAAAAGGCUCGCAGUUGAAUGUCUGUAUCGAGCGCAGGUCAGGUGGACGUUGGGGCGUGGAAGUACGGGCAGUUGGAUGUUCGGAGGGCAUUCGUGCUCGAUGGCUCCUUCGGCUUUUCCACACACCCCCGUCCGUGACAAGCCUCCUCGCUCGGGUACAUAACGGGAAUCGGUCAAACGGAGUGUGGUCGGGAGUUGAGGUGCGUGGUUUCGGCUGCGUGCUCCUUCUUUCGGCUGCGUCAAGCUCCAUCGGUUUCACGGUCACCUUGAGUAAAUCAGAGUGCUCAAAGCAGUCGUAGGGGCCUUGCGCCCUGUGAACAGUCUUGACGGACUGACUUGGUUUUGCAUGGCAUGUCGGAAGACGACGUC